Molecule: transfer RNA, 69 nt
Filed under: Mitjaevia bifurcata
Lineage: Eukaryota; Metazoa; Arthropoda; Insecta; Hemiptera; Cicadellidae
Description: tRNA-Gln
Source: RNAcentral
UGUAGAUAGGUGUUUUGAAGCAUAGAAGACUUUGAUUCUUAAGGAUGAGUUUAAUUCUCAAUUCUACAA